This 274-nucleotide ribosomal RNA is filed under the name uncultured bacterium. Its description in RNAcentral is "partial 16S ribosomal RNA". It matches the Rfam family "Archaeal small subunit ribosomal RNA", at positions 473 to 747 of the family's 1478-position model. The record is from RNAcentral.
AAACCAGCACCUCAAGUGGUCAGGAGGGUUAUUGGGCCUAAAGCAUCCGUAGCCGGCUAUGUUAGUUUUCGGUUAAAUCCAUGUGCUCAACACAUGGGCUGUCGAGAAUACUACAUAGCUAGGGAGUGGGAGAGGUAGACGGUACUCGGUAGGAAGGGGUAAAAUCCUUUGAUCUAUUGAUGACCACCAGUGGCGAAGGCGGUCUACCAGAACACGUCCGACGGUGAGGGAUGAAAGCUGGGGGAGCAAACCGGAUUAGAAACCCCGGUAGUCC